Long non-coding RNA from Drosophila miranda, 899 nucleotides. RefSeq lists it as uncharacterized. The transcript has 3 exons. Lineage: Eukaryota; Metazoa; Arthropoda; Insecta; Diptera; Drosophilidae. The record is from RefSeq and is a predicted model, not a curated record.
UACAUAUUUUCAUAUAGAGAUGCGGCUUUUAUGAUUCUGUAUCUCUUCUAAGACGUAAUAUGUACCACCUGCAAGAGUAUGUAAUGAUGAAGAAGGGUAUGGAGGAGAAAUUGUCAGCUACAUGCCACAUUCCGGUCAUUAAUACGCCAUCAGAAGCGAGUGCCCAACGAGCAGGGGAAAGAGAUACUGAUAAAGAGGCAGGUCAUCGCUGCCAUCUCGCGUCAUCAUCAUCAUCAGGGGCGGAGCUCCGCUUAGCUCCAGUUGUUGUCCGCCGGAAUGCUGCCGCUUUUGCUACUCCUGCUACCACCUGAACCAAAUACUAGCCGUAGAAUAAAAUGCUAACUAUUGCAGCGCAUUCAAAUUGACGGCCAAUACCCGCACAGAAAACUCCUCCAACGGCUCCCGCAGGCCAUCGAUGUUUAUAAAAAUGGAAAAGAAAACAUCGAUGCAUCGAUAGCACCAUCGAUGUUUUUCUCCCAUCACUGGUCAGCAGCUCGCAUCCCUAACAGUGAAAAAUUAGAAAAUUGCUUACAAUUGGAGUGCAAAUUACGCUUGAACCAAACUAAACGAAAGAUCAGAAAUGUUGCCGAAAGUAGUGCUCCUGAUGGCCCCCAUUGUGGGAAGCCUGGCCACCGCUUACAUUUGGAACGUUAUCGCCAAGAUGGAACGCGACCGGCAAUUCAAAAAAUGUCUCAUUACGGAUAUUGAAAAGCGCCUGGAAGCAGUGCACAAUGCACGCGCCCAAGGAGAGGAGGAGGACGGCGAUGCCAUUGACCCACUCGACGAAAUGGCCGAACUGGCUUACCAAAUGGAACUCGAAGAAUAAAUAAUCACAUAUCUGCAUUUACAUUAUUUUGGUUUACGAGUAAAGUACAAAAAUAAAAAUAGUUAAACCGCAA